CCAUGGCAGCUCCUCAAGAACGUUGUCCAACGAAGAUAUGCGGGUGGAGAUCACUCUGUUAAAGGUGGAUAUGAGAUUGUCAGCCGGUGUAUAGUCACAUUGGUGACGUCUCCCAUUGCGUUCACGACAUAUAUAGGUGGUAGAUCGUAGGUUGAAAAAACGGAGGAAAACAAAAGACCAUCGCCAGUCCGGAUUAGCUCUGUGUCUGAGGAUACUGAGCCAU
Molecule: long non-coding RNA, 223 nt
Organism: Arabidopsis thaliana (thale cress)
Lineage: Eukaryota; Viridiplantae; Streptophyta; Magnoliopsida; Brassicales; Brassicaceae
Product: other RNA
Exons: 1
Source: RefSeq